UACGAAGGGGGCUAGCGUUGCUCGGAAUCACUGGGCGUAAAGCGCACGUAGGCGGGUUGUUAAGUCGGGGGUGAAAUCCUGGAGCUCAACUCCAGAACUGCCUUCGAUACUGGCGACCUUGAGUACGGGAGAGGUGAGUGGAACUCCGAGUGUAGAGGUGAAAUUCGUAGAUAUCGGGAGGAACACCGGUGGCGAAGGCGGCGACCUGGGUUGACAUUGACGCUGAGGCGCGAAAGCGUGGGGAGCAAACAGG
RNAcentral lists this ribosomal RNA (253 nucleotides) under uncultured bacterium. RNAcentral describes it as "partial 16S ribosomal RNA". It matches the Rfam family "Bacterial small subunit ribosomal RNA", at positions 524 to 776 of the family's 1533-position model. The record is from RNAcentral.